UGGGGAAUAUUGCGCAAUGGGGGGAACCCUGACGCAGCAACGCCGCGUGAGUGAAGAAGGCCUUCGGGUUGUAAAGCUCUUUCGGUUGGGAAGAAGUGGUAUUCGGUUAAUAAGCGAAUAUUUUGAUGGUACCAAAAGAAGAAGCACCGGCAAACUUCGUGCCAGCAGCCGCGGUAAUACGAAGGGUGCGAGCGUUGUUCGGAAUUACUGGGCGUAAAGGGUUCGUAGGCUGGAAUGCAAGUCAAGUGUGAAAUCCCCAGGCUUAACCUGGGACGUGCAUUUGAGACUGUGUUUCUUGAGUUUCGGAGAGGGUGGUGGAAUUGCUGGUGUAGGAGUGACAUCCGUAGAGAUCAGCAGGAACACCGGAGGCGAAGGCGACCACCUGGCCGGAUACUGACGCUGAGGAACGAAAGCGUGGGGAGCAAACAGG
Molecule: ribosomal RNA, 430 nt
Filed under: uncultured bacterium
Lineage: Bacteria
Description: bacterial SSU rRNA
Rfam family: Bacterial small subunit ribosomal RNA
Source: RNAcentral